Molecule: ribosomal RNA, 274 nt
Filed under: uncultured bacterium
Lineage: Bacteria
Description: partial 16S ribosomal RNA
Rfam family: Bacterial small subunit ribosomal RNA
Source: RNAcentral
AGACGGGGGGCGCAAGCGUUGUUCGGAAUUACUGGGCGUAAAGGGCGCGUAGGUGGUUAGGUCAGUCGGAUGUGAAAGCCCCGGGCUCAACUCGGGAAUUGCAUUCGAUACUGCCUGGCUUGAGUAUGGUAGAGGGAAGUGGAAUUCCGGGUGUAGCGGUGAAAUGCGUAGAUAUCCGGAGGAACACCAGUGGCGAAGGCGGCUUCCUGGACCAAUACUGACACUGAGGCGCGAAAGCGUGGGGAGCAAACAGGAUUAGAUACCCCGGUAGUCC